RNAcentral lists this ribosomal RNA (405 nucleotides) under uncultured bacterium. Its description in RNAcentral is "partial 16S ribosomal RNA". It matches the Rfam family "Bacterial small subunit ribosomal RNA", at positions 30 to 525 of the family's 1533-position model. The record is from RNAcentral.
AUUGAACGCUGGCGGCAGGCCUAACACAUGCAAGUCGAACGAGCGGCGGACGGGUGAGUAAUGUCUGGGAAACUGCCUGAUGGAGGGGGAUAACUACUGGAAAAGGUAGCUAAUACCGCAUACCAUCAGAUGUGCCCAGAUGGGAUUAGCUCGUAGGUGGGGUAAUGGCUCACCUGGGGGACGAUCCCUAGCUGGUCUGAGAGGAUGACCGGCAACACUGGAACUGAGACAGGGUCCAGACUCCUACGGGAGGCAGCGGUGGGGAAUAUGGCACAAUGGGCGCAAGCCUGAUGCAGCCAUGCCGCGUAUGUGAAGAAGGCCUUCGGGUUGUAAAGCACUUUCAGCGAGGAGGCGUUACUCGCAGAAGAAGCACCGGCUAACUCCGUGCCAGCCGCCGCGGUAAAC